RNAcentral lists this ribosomal RNA (254 nucleotides) under uncultured bacterium. RNAcentral describes it as "partial 16S ribosomal RNA". It matches the Rfam family "Bacterial small subunit ribosomal RNA", at positions 524 to 777 of the family's 1533-position model. The record is from RNAcentral.
UACGAAGGGGGCUAGCGUUGCUCGGAAUCACUGGGCGUAAUGCGCACGUAGGCGGAUUGCUAAGUCAGGGGUGAAAUCCUGGAGCUCAACUCCAGAACUGCCUUUGAUACUGGCGACCUUGAGUCCGGGAGAGGUGAGUGGAACUGCGAGUGUAGAGGUGAAAUUCGUAGAUAUUCGGAAGAACACCAGUGGCGAAGGCGGCUCACUGGACCGGCAUUGACGCUGAGGUGCGAAAGCGUGGGGAGCAAACAGGG